AGAGUUUGAUCCUGGCUCAGAUUGAACGCUGGCGGCAUGCUUUACACAUGCAAGUCGAACGGCAGCACGGGGGCAACCCUGGUGGCGAGUGGCGAACGGGUGAGUAAUAUAUCGGAACAUAUCCGGAAGUGGGGGAUAACGUACCGAAAGGUACGCUAAUACCGCAUAUGCCCUGAGGGGGAAAGGGGGGGAUCGCAAGACCUCUCGCUUUCGGAGUGGCCGAUAUCGGAUUAGCUAGUUGGUGAGGUAAAGGCUCACCAAGGCGACGAUCCGUAGCUGGUCUGAGAGGACGACCAGCCACACUGGAACUGAGACACGGUCCAGACUCCUACGGGAGGCAGCAGUGGGGAAUUUUGGACAAUGGGCGAAAGCCUGAUCCAGCC
Molecule: ribosomal RNA, 383 nt
Filed under: uncultured bacterium
Lineage: Bacteria
Description: bacterial SSU rRNA
Rfam family: Bacterial small subunit ribosomal RNA
Source: RNAcentral